This 253-nucleotide ribosomal RNA is filed under the name uncultured bacterium. RNAcentral's name for it is "partial 16S ribosomal RNA". It matches the Rfam family "Bacterial small subunit ribosomal RNA", at positions 524 to 776 of the family's 1533-position model. The record is from RNAcentral.
UACGGAGGGCGCGAGCGUUGUUCGGAAUCACUGGGCGUAAAGCGCGUGUAGGCGGCCGAGCAAGUCGGAUGUGAAAUCCCGAGGCUCAACCUCGGAACUGCAUUCGAAACUGCUCGGCUCGAGUCCCGGAGAGGAUGGCGGAAUUCCCGGUGUAGGGGUGAAAUCCGUAGAUAUCGGGAGGAACACCAGUGGCGAAGGCGGCCAUCUGGACGGUGACUGACGCUGAGACGCGAAAGUGUGGGGAGCAAACAGG